Molecule: ribosomal RNA, 117 nt
Filed under: Deltaproteobacteria bacterium
Lineage: Bacteria; Pseudomonadati; Myxococcota; Myxococcia
Source: RNAcentral
UCUGGUGGCCAUAGCGAAGGGGAAACACCCGUUCCCAUUCCGAACACGGAAGUUAAGCCCUUCAGCGCCGAUGGUACUGCCUUGGCAGCAAGGUGGGAGAGUAGGUCGCUGCCAGAU